AAGAAGGAGAAGGAGAAGGAGAAGGAGAAGGAGAAGGAGAAGGAGAAAGAGAAGAAGAGGCUGCCAGGAAGAGGAAACAAGUGUCAUAAGCAAAGGCUCGGAGGCAUGAAGGUAAGAAAACUGAGGCUCAUGUGACUUAAAGGUUGUUUGAGGUGACCCAAUGACAGAACAUUGAUGCUGGUUGGAUGUGAGAGAAGAUGUACAUUCAUCAGGGACGCCUAAGACCCCUGUUAAGAAUUCAGCUCUAACUGAACAAAAGCCUCGGGGUUCACAGUUAUAGGUGGAUCUCGCCUUGGCAAUGAGGGGGCUAAUAAAUGACUCUGAC
Molecule: long non-coding RNA, 325 nt
Organism: Lynx canadensis (Canada lynx)
Lineage: Eukaryota; Metazoa; Chordata; Mammalia; Carnivora; Felidae
Exons: 3
Source: RefSeq, a predicted model, not a curated record